RNAcentral lists this ribosomal RNA (253 nucleotides) under uncultured bacterium. Its description in RNAcentral is "partial 16S ribosomal RNA". It matches the Rfam family "Bacterial small subunit ribosomal RNA", at positions 524 to 776 of the family's 1533-position model. The record is from RNAcentral.
UACGUAUGGUGCAAGCGUUAUCCGGAUUUACUGGGUGUAAAGGGAGCGCAGGCGGCACGGCAAGCCUGAUGUGAAAGCCCGCGGCCCAACCGCGGGACUGCAUUGGGAACUACCGGGCUGGAGUGCCGGAGAGGUAGGCGGAAUUCCUAGUGUAGCGGUGAAAUGCGUAGAUAUUAGGAGGAACACCAGUGGCGAAGGCGGCUUUCUGGACUGUAACUGACACUGAGGUACGAAAGCGUGGGGAGCAAACAGG